UACUCUCCCACAAAGAGCCACCCCUCACCUCUCUCUCUCACUAUCUCCCCUCUCACUAUCCUCUCUCUAGUUCCCCCGCCGCCUCCUCCUCCUCACGUCGGCCACCAUGGGCGAGUCAAACUCGCCGCCCUCGUCACCACUACCGUCCUUCGUUCUUCACAGGCCGGUUAACCGUCAAACCGCCGCCUUCUCCGCCUUCGCUCACCAGCCAUCGGAGAAAGAGCCCAGCGAACAACCAUCGCCGGAGGACGUUGGAAAACAGCCACCACUCCCAACGGCAGCCCACCGGCGCCUCCCGUCUCUCUCUCUACCGUUCGACAGCCAUGCAGCCGGCGGAACCCCGCCGCCUUGAACCAGCCACCGGCGCCGCUGCUGCCAUCAUCCCCUCCACUUCUCCACCGCCAUGCAACCACCAAUAACCACAAGAAAGCAACCAUCCGCCGCCCCGUUCCCCUCAGUCAGCCACUAGCAGUCGCCGUCCUCCCCUCCAUCUCCACGCCCAGAUCUGGUAACCCCUUCGUCGAAAAUCGAUGGGUGUUAGGACUCAUCCCGGGUUUCUUUUCUUGAUUAAUUUCUUGCCUAAAACUAAAAUUUGUGAUAAAGUGUUGUGUCUGCAUGUUUACCAAUAUUUGUUAAAUAACGCAUGAUCCCACACACUUCUUUUAAAUCUUGAAGUUUGUGGAAUGUGAUGUUAAGUUUUGCUCUUGUUUCAUGUUUUGUUUUCGUAAUUUGACAUAUGUAAAAGCCUUAGGAUUCUUGUCUGUGACCCUAAAUUGUGACUUGAGUAUCGAUUUUGUGACUCAUAGACUGAUUUUGUGGUUCGUAAUUUGUUAUGAUUUUUGUACUGCUGUAGUGUUUAGAUUUAGAUUAAUUUGAAUUUCUAAUUUUCAUGGGCAAUCUGGGUGAUUUGUUUACCUUAAUCAAGUUGUACAUGAUUUUCUUUGGUUACAUUAGAUGUGAUUAUGUUCCAAAUUACGGUAAUCCAAAAUAAAAGUAUCCUGUAUUUGUAAUUGCUCUUUCACAUGUGUUAUAUAUGAUAGCAAAAGUUAAUGCAUAUUUAUAUUUUCUAUUAUUUUAAAACAUCUUUUACUUAUUUAUUUAGGGUAAAUUUAUUUCCAAUUGAUUCAGUCUCUCCGAUUAAGGAAAAUAACGCCGUUGAUUGAUUUCCUCAACUUUUGCUUUCCUUUUAUUAUGUGAUUGAAUCUUACGUAAUUUAUUUUAUCAAAGGAUCUCCUUGAUUGACCCAUCAAAAUAUUUCCUUCCCUUUUACUUUCCCGACUUCCUCAUUAUAUAAACAUCCCUUUUUAUCACUUACGGACAACUCUUCAAUUACAAUCACUCUCUAAAAUAAAAACUACUAGAUACUGUAAGACGAAGAAAAGGAUAUUCUCAAGCUAUUUGGUUUCUCUGAUUCCGACAAGGCAUUCAUCUCGCUUUACUAUUGCAAUCAUACUACUUUUCGUUCUUUAUUAUUAUUUUCGUCGUUUACUGGUAAGUUCUCAAAACGAUGUAAUUUUCAUUCUUUGUGUGUAUUGAUUGCGUCAUGUUGUGAAAGCCUUUAGAAAGCAUGUCUAUAGGAAUAUUUCGAUGUUCGUUAUUAUAUGAGCUGUUUGCUUGCCAUUACAGUUUGUCUCACAGGUUUAAAUAAAUAAUUACGGGGUUUCCGAAGAGUCGCCGGGGUGUUUACAUUAUAUUGUAGUAGUUCUAUUUAAUUUUAUUUUCUUAUUAUUUGGUUUGUAAUAUUAUUGUAUAAACAUUACUGUUAUUGUAAUAAUAAUUUUGGGGACUGCUGGGGGGGGCUACGUACUCUGUGAAUAGUAUAGGUAGGCACAACUUAGGAUUUUCUGUGAAUAGUAUAGGUAGGCACAACUUAGGAUUUUCUGUGUAUUACGUGCUAUAUGAAUCACCUAAUAUUCGAAAACGUUUUGGCACUUAAAGCCAUAACUUAUUAACAUGUCAUUGCAUGUUUGGCACGUCAACAUUGAUCUAGGCAUAACAAAAUAAUUUAAUUUUUCACCGCAUGUUAGCAUUAAAUUCCUACACAUUCCUGCAUGGUAACAUGUUAAACAUUAGUCUUAAGCGAUUUUGGCACGUAAAAUAUGUUAUCACAUAUUUUAGUAUGUUAAAACAAAUAUUGUUAAAACACGUUAGCGUUAAAUUUUUUGAACAUUACCAUAUGUUUCAGCAUGUUAAAUUUUAGCAUUUUAAACAUUAGAAUUAAGCAUUCUUAGCUCAUUAAACACUAAAUUUGAGCAUGUGGUAUCUUCUUGUAUAUGCCUUAACAUUAAAAUAAGCAUGUCAAUAUAUUUUUCAACAUGUUAAUAAAUUUUCAGCAUGUUAAACAAUUUAUUUAAGCAUUUUUGGCACAUUCACAUUAAAUUCCUGCAUGUCCUUACAUGUUAGCUCACUCCAUAUUAAAAAUACAAUUUCAGCAUGACGAGUCAAUUUUCAGCAUGUUAGGUUUAAUUUCUGGGGUAUUUGAAUAAAAUUUCCGCGUGACGGUCAAAUUUCUACGUUACUAAAACUGUGUUACUGCAUUUUUAGCACAAUUAUAUGAAAUUACUGCAUACUAGUAGCUUUUUGAGCAUCCUCAACUUGUUAAACGCUAAAUUCUGUACAUAAUUGUAUUACUUAGCAUGUUAAUGCACUUUCAAUGUUUUGUUAUAUUCUCAUUAGUUUAACACUUGCACAAUGAAAUUCGUGAGCACAAUUUCUUGACAUAUUUACCACACUUUUGAGACCUUCUUUUAACAAUUUGACAAUACAUUGUUACAUUCUCGAGCCACAGUUACGUUUUAUCACACUGACACUUGUUGAACACUUAGAUAUCAUGUCAAUAGAUUAAUGACAAUUAGAAUGAGGAUUUAAUAUUUCGUGAUAGUUAUCAUGGAUUGAAAAGGGACGGGCAAAUAGCAACGCAGAAGUUUCACACCGAGGUGCCUUGAACAGGUGGGGAAAAGACGUUUAAAGCGGAGGGAAAAUCAAUCGAAGGGAAAUUCGGGUGAAAGGGCAAAUUCCUGUGAUUCUUGGUUAGCUGACUAAGAGCGGAUGAGGCGGGCAAGGAGUGUGGCAUUACUAUAGGUUUGAUUCAUCAAUGUCGGUAUCUCAGUCACAGAUUGAUGUUGUCCUAAAAAUACCCCUUUGUUUUUACUCAAUUAUAUCCAUAGUAUCAGGAUUUCGACCGCUCGGUUGUUCUUAUGGAUCUCGAUAUGUUUGGCUAAUAGCUAUUCUUUGUAUUUGCAUGUUAAUCACAUUAAUCAACUCUUUAAUAACUAAGGGGCUAAUGUGAGACAUUACUUGCCUCUUGACGUCCAAUGUGUUAUGCGUUUUGAGUUCUAAUCAACAUAGCUUUAUUUUGUCUAGACCACAAAUCCAAAAUAGCUAAGUCCAAUGCCUCUUGGAGAAUAGGCGGGACGAUAGGAAUUACCAAAGACGCUAGUUUUAUCCUUGUCUUAGAACGCCUUUAGAGUUAACAACCAGCCUAGGUGGGGUGGGAUGUGUAGUCAUUUGGAAGUGAUGAUCUCCAACCAACAUUGAAGGUUAGACAUGACUUACUAAGAGUUCGGCUAGUGGGUCGGAUGAUGAUUAAACAAGUUGGGGUUUUGAUCCGAAUGAGACCAAAACUUUUCUUUAUUUGAUUUGAUGGAUUUCUUUUAUUAUUUUAUUUACCUUACAUGUUCAUAUAUUUGGGGUAGUUAGUUUAUUACAUAGGCAAUUCCCUUUGUUAUAAUUGUUUUCUUUCUUCUUGCUUAUCUUAUUAUAUGUUUUUAUCACUUAGAUAAUCAACAAUUAGAAAUAACAAAAAAAUAACAUGCGUGUUCAUUAAUUAUUUUAUCACUUAGUCUGGGCAAUCCGAAAUUUUCUUGAAUAG
This 3871-nucleotide long non-coding RNA is filed under the name Capsicum annuum. Its description in RNAcentral is "long non-coding RNA (CANN_LNC018942)". Lineage: Eukaryota; Viridiplantae; Streptophyta; Magnoliopsida; Solanales; Solanaceae. The record is from RNAcentral.